AAGCUCUGAAAUAUCCAACAAUGAUUAGUGUAUGUAUGUGUGUCUAUCUAUGCGUGUAUUUCAUAAUCAAUUUUAGAAGUGCAUAAUUUUCAGAUUUGAGUUCCAUAUUUUCUUGGUUUUGGUAAAACAACAAAUUACAAUUUCAGAUUAUUGUUGUGACAUUGAAAAGUUUGGGUGGCAGGUCUUUCUUUGGCCUUGCUAAACAUAAUAUAAAAUCCAAGGGAUAAACAAUUUUAUCUAUGGAUAAAAGUUGGAUUAAAAUCCGAAAUCGAUUGCAGCCCGAAUACGUAAAUGGUGCCAAAUCAUUUCUUAAGUUUGCAUACGCAAAUCUGGGAUCGGGGGAUAAAAUUAAGUGUCCGUGUAUCAAUUGUCAAAAUUUAAUGAAUAGGAAAAAAAGAAUAGUUUACGAACAUUUGAUAAUGUAUGGAUUUCUUGAUACCUACACUAAUUGGGUAUAUCAUGGGGAGACUCCUGUUUGCAUUUAUGAAUAAGUGGAUUUAGGCUCUAAGCGUUGUUAGAUUAUUGUAGUAAAUAGCUAUUACAUUUUGUGGUCAAUAUAUUAAGCUGUUCAAGAUAUCUCAAAAUACGACUUGUAUAACUAUUUUCUUGAUUCUACAGUAUAUUGUGGAUUAUUAGAUUAGUGGUACAAAUCAUGACACUUUGAUUUUCGUUUUCUUAACAACAGGUUUAUUCGACUCUCAUUUGCAAGUUUUGUGCAAGUUUGCCGGCUAAGAAAUUCAGGUAUUAAGUUGUCCCUAUGUCUUAAGUUCGAGUAAUAAACAUUAGCAUAAUCGAAAGUAUAUCAAUUAAACUAUUUGAGAUUGAUUGUGAAAUCACUACAUAAUAUAUGUGUCAAUGUUUUAUUCUCGCAGAUUAUGAAUCACAAGAAACGCAUACGAAACGCUGUUUCUCAAGGGAAUAUAGAAUUCCCACCCUCUCAUUCUCAGCAACAUUUUCAUCAAGGGAAUGCAAAAUUCCCACCCUCUCAUUCUGAUUCGCAUUUCCAUCAUGUAUAUUCACAUGGUCAACCAUCAUCAUCUAAUUCUUAUGUUCCAUCGAAUGGUGGUGGAUUUAUGGAAUCGGAGAACAAUGCAGAUGAUGCUUCAUAUGAUGGUAAAUUUAUCAUCUUUUCAGUUACACUAUCAACUUUCUACUAAACUCAAUAUUUUUUUACUUUGAAUCCAGGGACGAGUCAGAGAACAACAAAAAAGGGCGAGGUCGUACAAAAAUGCUCAAAUCAUGGGGCAAUGAAAAAUUUGAAGUUCAAGUUAAUGAAUUUAAUCAAGCUAUUGGUAAAAAUGCAGCAAAACUUUCAAGUCAGAUGGGUCGUGUG
This 1333-nucleotide long non-coding RNA is filed under the name Erythranthe guttata (spotted monkey flower). Its description in RNAcentral is "long non-coding RNA (EGUT_LNC003380)". The record is from RNAcentral. Lineage: Eukaryota; Viridiplantae; Streptophyta; Magnoliopsida; Lamiales; Phrymaceae.